This 509-nucleotide ribosomal RNA is filed under the name Escherichia coli. RNAcentral's name for it is "bacterial SSU rRNA". It matches the Rfam family "Bacterial small subunit ribosomal RNA", at positions 1017 to 1526 of the family's 1533-position model. RNAcentral also lists the same sequence under 1 other name. The record is from RNAcentral. Lineage: Bacteria; Pseudomonadati; Pseudomonadota; Gammaproteobacteria; Enterobacterales; Enterobacteriaceae.
CCUUCGGGAACUGUGAGACAGGUGCUGCAUGGCUGUCGUCAGCUCGUGUUGUGAAAUGUUGGGUUAAGUCCCGCAACGAGCGCAACCCUUAUCCUUUGUUGCCAGCGGUCCGGCCGGGAACUCAAAGGAGACUGCCAGUGAUAAACUGGAGGAAGGUGGGGAUGACGUCAAGUCAUCAUGGCCCUUACGACCAGGGCUACACACGUGCUACAAUGGCGCAUACAAAGAGAAGCGACCUCGCGAGAGCAAGCGGACCUCAUAAAGUGCGUCGUAGUCCGGAUUGGAGUCUGCAACUCGACUCCAUGAAGUCGGAAUCGCUAGUAAUCGUGGAUCAGAAUGCCACGGUGAAUACGUUCCCGGGCCUUGUACACACCGCCCGUCACACCAUGGGAGUGGGUUGCAAAAGAAGUAGGUAGCUUAACCUUCGGGAGGGCGCUUACCACUUUGUGAUUCAUGACUGGGGUGAAGUCGUAACAAGGUAACCGUAGGGGAACCUGCGGUUGGAUCAC